GCUCCUCACUAUGGCAAGGGCCUCAAGUACGAAUCCCUCAUUUGAAACACGGAAAGCGGGAAUGGAGAGAGAGAGAGAGAGAGAGAGAGAGAGAGGAUGCUCUGUGCUUUUGGCCAUGGGUGGUAUCCAAUGGUAGUCACACUCAAAGUAGACCUACUGAAAACAAUGAACCUCAAAGGCCGUCUCAGCCUCUGCCUGCACAACGGAUCCCUGCAUUCUGCACAUCCCAUCCUGCCUGGAGGUGUCCAUUGAGCACAGUGUCAGAAUCUAGCCUUUAGCUUGGUGGCUCCUGCUCCUUGGAACUUGAAGAAGACAGGCAUUUUCUUGAUUGCGUUUUAGGCGCCUGCCAAAGGCAUUCCUCUUCCUGCAAGCUUCUAAAUGGAGAUCUUUAUCCCAGUUGGUAUCAUUAUUGGAUUUGAAUUGGUUUUAUGUACAUGCUCAUGUUGAUGUUAAACUGUAUAUGUGUGUGUGUAUAAUGUAUUUUUCCUAUAGUUUUUUAUAUGUAUACAAUUGCUUUGACAGUUUUUAUAUAUGAAGCUGUUUUGGUAUGUUUUGAUUCCACUGUAAAUCGCUUUGGGGUGCGUUAUGAGCUGCAAUUUAUAAUGAAAUACUGUAAUUUAAUUCAGUGGGACUACUCAAACAUAGGCAUUCCAGCAAAGGUUUGGGUUAAGGAUUUACCUCUGGGAGACUGCAGAGAUUCUGAAGGUCAGUGCCCCAGAACAAUUGGAGACCAAUUCUGUUUCUGCCCAGUUAUUUGUUUUGUGUCCCCACCCACCCACCCACUCACUCACUCACCCCCAAC
Podarcis raffonei (Aeolian wall lizard) is the source of this 802-nucleotide long non-coding RNA. RefSeq lists it as uncharacterized. NCBI's taxonomy places the organism in Eukaryota, Metazoa, Chordata, Lepidosauria, Squamata, Lacertidae. The record is from RefSeq and is a predicted model, not a curated record. The transcript has 3 exons.